RNAcentral lists this ribosomal RNA (495 nucleotides) under uncultured bacterium. Its description in RNAcentral is "partial 16S ribosomal RNA". It matches the Rfam family "Bacterial small subunit ribosomal RNA", at positions 28 to 507 of the family's 1533-position model. The record is from RNAcentral.
GACGAACGCUGGCGGCGUGCCUAAUACAUGCAAGUAGAAUGCUGAAGGAGGAGCUUGCUUCUCUGGAUGAGUUGCGAACGGGUGAGUAACGCGUAGGUAACCUGCCUGGUAGCGGGGGAUAACUAUUGGAAACGAUAGCUAAUACCGCAUAAUAGCAGUUGUUGCAUGACAACUGUUUGAAAGGUGCAAUUGCACCACUACCAGAUGGACCUGCGUUGUAUUAGCUAGUUGGUGGGGUAACGGCUCACCAAGGCGACGAUACAUAGCCGACCUGAGAGGGUGAUCGGCCACACUGGGACUGAGACACGGCCCAGACUCCUACGGGAGGCAGCAGUAGGGAAUCUUCGGCAAUGGACGGAAGUCUGACCGAGCAACGCCGCGUGAGUGAAGAAGGUUUUCGGAUCGUAAAGCUCUGUUGUAAGAGAAGAACGAGUGUGAGAGUGGAAAGUUCACACUGUGACGGUAUCUUACCAGAAAGGGACGGCUAACUACGUG